UGAAGCAGCAUGAACCACGGGGCAAGCCCAUGCACCAUAGUCAAACACACACACCCACAAGCAAACCAUUCGAGGCUGGGGAACACUGGCCAAACUGCACCACAGUGAGGCAAAGGAAAGAAUGCCUUCUCUGGAAGACGUUGAGAAAGUGCUUUUCAUUUAUUAAACAUUGGUUUGGAUAACAUGAUGCUACAAAGGAUCUGCAGAGGGCAGAGGAGAGGACAAGGAGGUCAGAAGACUGAGCAGAAAAGGACUGAAUACCCAGAAACAACAGGAUUUUAGUAAUUAUGUGUUUGCUUUUCACAAAUCCCUGGCAAAGUGUAUGGGACCUGCUUUACUUAAAACAACUAGUUAAGAUUUAGAUUUAGAUGUUUAAAUUUAAAUUUUUGGUUCCCAAAGUUGAUGUCUGAUUGUGUACCAGGAGUAAGUGAGGAAAGAGGCAGGCUUGAAAAUGUCAAGAUAUCUGGCCCCAUUCGACUAGUAGAAAGCAAGCAUCACUGACGGAAAUAAAAGGAGGAAAGUACAAUGAAAAAGUGCAUUUUCAGAGGAAGAGAAAGUUAAAUUUGAUUUGAGGCUCACUGCAUUUAAGAUGACUGAGGAUAUUCAUUAAAUAUCUCCUGUUGGCUGCAGUAAACUAAAGAGUGAUUCCUCGAGACAUAUAGAUUUGGAAAUCAGUUACAUUAAAUAAAGGUAGCAACUGAAGCUCUGAGAGUGGAUGACUUAGCCACAAUCGGAUCAGAGGGUGGAUGACUGAGCAUCAGGGAAUCCUCACAGACAAACAUCACAAAAAGAAAUAUACUAUAAUUUAAAGCACGUGCAAAUAAUCAUGUUAUAUUUCAGACAUGGAGAACCAACCAAAUAAAAACAGCCUUCAAAAAUCUUGUAAAAAUAACCUGAUAGAAAAGAGGGGGAAAGAAUGUCUUAAAAACUCCUGUAAAUAGAAAAAGAAUGUAUUUGCUUUUAAUCAAGACUUUUAUUCUGCUGGUCCCUAAGGGGUAAUUAUGAGAUAGGUGCUCCUAAAACCUGCUACCAAAAUACUGGGCUACAAAGCUUUUACUGUCACCAGGAGGUGACACUAGUUACACAGUUACAGCACACACUGAUGCAACCCUUUCCUCAAGGCAUUAUACACAGCUUCCAAUGUGGACUGC
Rhinopithecus roxellana (golden snub-nosed monkey) is the source of this 1151-nucleotide long non-coding RNA. RefSeq lists it as uncharacterized. The transcript is spliced from 4 exons. NCBI's taxonomy places the organism in Eukaryota, Metazoa, Chordata, Mammalia, Primates, Cercopithecidae. The record is from RefSeq and is a predicted model, not a curated record.